UGGGGAAUCUUGGACAAUGGGGGCAACCCUGAUCCAGCCAUGCCGCGUGGGUGAAGAAGGCCCUAGGGUUGUAAAGCCCUUUCGGUGGUGACGAUAAUGACUGUAGCCACUAAAGAAGCCCCGGCUAACUUCGUGCCAGCAGCCGCGGUAAUACGAAGGGGGCUAGCGUUGUUCGGAAUUACUGGGCGUAAAGCGCACGUAGGCUGAUGGGUCAGUCAGAGGUGAAAUCCCAAGGCUCAACCUUGGAACUGCCUUUGAUACUGCUCAUCUUGAGACCAGGAGAGGAGAGUGGAAUUCCCAGUGUAGAGGUGAAAUUCGUAGAUAUUGGGAAGAACACCCGUGGCGAAGGCGGCUCUCUGGCCUGGUUCUGACGCUGAGGUGCGACAGCGUGGGGAGCAAACAGGAUUAGAUACCCCCGUAGUCC
This 424-nucleotide ribosomal RNA is filed under the name uncultured prokaryote. RNAcentral describes it as "bacterial SSU rRNA". It matches the Rfam family "Bacterial small subunit ribosomal RNA", at positions 355 to 796 of the family's 1533-position model. The record is from RNAcentral.